RNAcentral lists this ribosomal RNA (512 nucleotides) under uncultured bacterium. RNAcentral's name for it is "partial 16S ribosomal RNA". It matches the Rfam family "Bacterial small subunit ribosomal RNA", at positions 28 to 523 of the family's 1533-position model. The record is from RNAcentral.
GACGAACGCUGGCGGCGUGCCUAAUACAUGCAAGUCGAGCGGAACUGGGGGAGCUUGCUCCUUCCAGUUUAGCGGCGGACGGGUGAGUAACACGUGGGCAACCUGCCCUGCAGAUCGGGAUAACUCCGGGAAACCGGUGCUAAUACCGAAUAGUUUGGCGCCUCUCCUGAGGCGCUACGGAAAGACGGUUUCGGCUGGCACUGCAGGAUGGGCCCGCGGCGCAUUAGCUAGUUGGUGGGGUAACGGCCCACCAAGGCGACGAUGCGUAGCCGACCUGAGAGGGUGACCGGCCACACUGGGACUGAGACACGGCCCAGACUCCUACGGGAGGCAGCAGUAGGGAAUCUUCCGCAAUGGACGCAAGUCUGACGGAGCAACGCCGCGUGAGUGACGAAGGUUUUCGGAUCGUAAAACUCUGUUGUGAGGGAAGAACGCGUACCAACUAACUAUUGGUACCUUGACGGUACCUCACCAGAAAGCCACGGCUAACUACGUGCCAGCCGCCGCCGUAA